Apaloderma vittatum (bar-tailed trogon) is the source of this 59-nucleotide transfer RNA. It matches the Rfam family "tRNA", at positions 8 to 63 of the family's 71-position model. Rfam says of the family: Transfer RNA (tRNA) molecules are approximately 80 nucleotides in length. Their secondary structure includes four short double-helical elements and three loops (D, anti-codon, and T loops). The record is from Rfam. NCBI's taxonomy places the organism in Eukaryota, Metazoa, Chordata, Aves, Trogoniformes, Trogonidae.
UAGCUCAGUCGGUUAGAGCGUGGUGCUGAGAACACCAAGGUCAUGGGUUCGAUCCCCGU